RNAcentral lists this long non-coding RNA (1823 nucleotides) under Canis lupus familiaris (dog). RNAcentral describes it as "lncRNA (ENSCAFG00000058451.1, ENSCAFG00845012351.1)". The record is from RNAcentral. Lineage: Eukaryota; Metazoa; Chordata; Mammalia; Carnivora; Canidae.
GUGAGAGAGAGGGACAGAGGAACAGGCAGAGGGAGAAGCAGGCUCCAUGCAGGGAGCCCGAUGUGGGACUCGAUCCCGGGUCCCCAGGAUCACACCCCAGGCUGCAGGCGGCGCUAAACCACUGAGCCACCGGGGCUGCCCUAGACCCUGUCUUCUUGAGAAAACUCGACAUCCCUUCAGAACCAUCCUCUGUGAGAGCCCAGGGUGCCCUCUGAGCAUCUCCUGUCCGGCAGCAUGUUUGUAUCAAUGAGAAAGCUGGAACCCAGAUUGAUGAGGUGUCUUCACCAUGGCCGGGAAGUACAGCAGUCAAGUUUAGAUGUGGCUUCCUCGGGUACCACAAGUUCUGAUGGCUCUGGAAUGGGAGCGGCAGUGUGUCGAGGGGACACAUCCAGGAGGGGCCUUCCAUGCAUCUUUCCAUCUCCAGCGCUCACCAAAAUGCCUGGCACACAGCAGGUGCUCACUAAAUGAAAAUGCAAUUUGAGUUGAACAAAGUAAGCGUUCAUUGGGCACCCAAUAAAUGUACCAAGUGCAAGAUAUGCAAAGAUGGGUGGCAGCUAAAAGUCAGGAUGCAUGUAUACAAGCACAGCCGGUAAGAGACUUGGAAAGAAGACGCAUGCGGCACUUCCAUUGGUUCAUUUGUUCAUCAAGGCAUUUGUUGUGCCAAGCUCUGGGAAGACAGACAUGAAUAAAAUGUGCUCCUGGGUCUUCAAAAAGACAUGACCUGGUACAUAAUUCAUAUAACUGGGCAGAUGACUGCUGUCCUCGGGUGUGCCUCAGGGCUCUGAGGACAGAGCCACUGGAUUGUGGGUCAGUUUGAAAGGGAUGGGGGAGGGGAAGCUGGAUGAGAUGGGCAGGGCCUUUGCACUUGCCGGUUCUUUUCCCCGGGACACCUUUUCUCUCAUCCUUCCUGUCUCAGAUGGCGUGUCCUCUCCUCCAGCAGCCCCUUCGGAAAGCUGCCUCCUCAUGGCUCUAUCACCGUUCCCUGUUCAGUUCUUCUCAAACCCUGACCAUGGACCCUGGUGAAUGAAAAGAGGGCAAGGAAACGGAACUAGCAUUUUUUGGAAUACCCACUACGUGCCAGACACAGGGCUCUUUAACUGCCGAACGCUAUUUCAUUAAUUUCCCCCAAAGUUCCCGGGGUGGUGGUAUUCUUACCCUCAUUGGGCAGACUACAAAGGGCCCCUGCCCCUUCUUGGAAGGCAAAUGCCUUUGCCCAAGGUCACCGGCCGGAUGUAGAGGAAUAGACUUGGAAUCCAGGGCCAGCUGCCUCCCCACACCCAUGGUGCUUUCAUGGCACCGGGAGAGGCCAAGUGCAAGAAAGGAAAUGGAAUGACUCGUUUACUGCUUCAGGCAUUUUCAGCAACAAGUAAGUGAUUUCCCUAAUUCCCAUUCUGCUGUUAAUACAGAAACUUGGCAGCUGGGAACCAGGCUGCAGAAAAACAGGUUUCCUUCUUAACUCAGCAGCACCCCCUGCAGGAGAUGAGGGAACACAGCAGAAGUGAUGGGGGCCGGAGGGCUCCUCUCUGCCGGAGGGGAUCCAGCAGGCACUCCAGACAGCUUCCAGGCCCUUCCUUACUAAAAAGGAGCACAUUGAGACUGAGAAAGGAAUUUGCCCAAAGUCACACUGUUAGUGAUGGCAGAUGUGAAGCCGGCUUCUGACUCCCCGUUCAGUGCCCUCUCCCCACCCACUCCCUCCCUCUCUCCGCCUCUCUCCUUCAAUAAGCAUUAAUUUAGCACCUACUAUGCCUUGGGUAUAUUUCUUCUUGUGGAUUAUAAAUAUCAAUGGCUAAACUUUGUCUUUUGGGAUUAUUGUUGUAUUGAUU